AGUAACGGCGAGUGAAGCGGGAUGAGCUCAAGCUUAAAAUCUCCGUACAAGUUUUGUAUGGCGAAUUGUAGUCUAUAGAGGCGUGGUCAGCGUGGGCGCUUGGGGCAAGUUCCUUGGAAGAGGACAGCAUCGAGGGUGAUACUCCCGUUCAUCCCUGAGUGGCUCGUGCGUACGACCCGUUUUCUUUGAGUCGCGUUGUUUGAGAAUGCAGCGCAAAGUAGGUGGUAAAUUCCAUCUAAAGCUAAAUAUUGGUGCGAGACCGAUAGCAUACAAGUACCGUGAGGGAAAGAUGAAAAGAACUUUGAAAAGAGAGUUAAAGAGUACCUGAAACUGCUGAAAGGGAACCGAAUCGUUUCCAGUGUCUAUAAUCCGUGACAUAUUUCAUUGGCGAGUGUGUGCGUGCGUGUGCUAUGGCAGCGGCCUUUUUGGCUGCGCUUGGCGUGUGUGCUGUGUGUGCUUGCUGGUGCCCUGUGUUGCGGUGGGACGUCAAUGUCAGUUCGUAUGCUGCGGGAAAUGGCUGCCGAGGAGGUAGGGCUUACGCUUGCGUUUGUCUGUUAUAUCUUGGUGGACUAGUCGUCGCGGUUGGGACUGAGGUGCCUACAACGUGCUUUUGUGUGGGUUUGUGUCUCCGUGUGUACCGUGUGCGGAUAGCUUGCUAUGUGUGUGUGGUUAUGUAUGGAUUGAUGUAGACUCUAACUUGUUGCCGUUCGGGACAUUGACGAAAUGGAGCGAUCCGACCCGUCUUGAAACACGGACCAAGGAGUCUAACAUGUGUGCAAGUGUUAGGGUGUGGAAACCCCAGCGCGUAAUGAAAGUAAAGGGCAGAGCAAUCUGUCUGAGGUAGGAAACGUUGCGGAUCUUUGGUCUGUGGCGUGGCACUAUCGACCGAUCAUGAACCUUCGUGGUGAAAGAUUUGAGUUUGAGCACAUAUGUUGGUAYCCKAAAGAUG
RNAcentral lists this ribosomal RNA (949 nucleotides) under Peronospora rumicis. Its description in RNAcentral is "LSU rRNA". It matches the Rfam family "Eukaryotic large subunit ribosomal RNA", at positions 82 to 825 of the family's 3401-position model. Lineage: Eukaryota; Oomycota; Peronosporomycetes; Peronosporales; Peronosporaceae. The record is from RNAcentral.